RNAcentral lists this transfer RNA (70 nucleotides) under Streptomyces sp. ADI93-02. Its description in RNAcentral is "tRNA-Ser". The record is from RNAcentral. Lineage: Bacteria; Bacillati; Actinomycetota; Actinomycetes; Kitasatosporales; Streptomycetaceae.
AGCUCGCGGCCGGGACCGAUGUGUCGUGGCUGCUGGCUACGGAGCCGAGGUUCGGCUCUCCGGCGCGCUG